RNAcentral lists this transfer RNA (73 nucleotides) under Chloroflexia bacterium SDU3-3. It matches the Rfam family "tRNA". From Rfam's summary of the family: Transfer RNA (tRNA) molecules are approximately 80 nucleotides in length. Their secondary structure includes four short double-helical elements and three loops (D, anti-codon, and T loops). The record is from Rfam by way of RNAcentral. Lineage: Bacteria; Bacillati; Chloroflexota; Chloroflexia.
GGGGCUAUAGCUCAAAGGAAGAGCAGCGCUCUGCAAAAGCGUAUGGGUGGAGGUUCAAGUCCUCCUAGCCCCU